GUGGAGGAGGUAUCACAUCUACUGGCUCAUUAUUGGGUUCUGGUUCUCGGACUCGAUGCUCUUCAGAGACUUUCUCUUCGAGCUCAAUCUUCCUCCCACUACCUCCAUCUUGGAUAAACUUUUUUUUCAGGAAUACGGUAUGAUGGCUCACAAUCAUAUUGUGAUCCUCAAGAAUAUAAAAGUAGUAUCCCAUAGUUUUCUUAGGAUACCCUAUAAAACGAGCCCUAAAGGAUCUAGUCUCUAACUUGUCUACCUGCUG
Molecule: long non-coding RNA, 259 nt
Filed under: Elaeis guineensis (African oil palm)
Lineage: Eukaryota; Viridiplantae; Streptophyta; Magnoliopsida; Arecales; Arecaceae
Description: long non-coding RNA (EGUI_LNC065618)
Source: RNAcentral